Oncorhynchus keta (chum salmon) is the source of this 913-nucleotide long non-coding RNA. RefSeq lists it as uncharacterized. Lineage: Eukaryota; Metazoa; Chordata; Actinopteri; Salmoniformes; Salmonidae. The transcript is spliced from 8 exons. The record is from RefSeq and is a predicted model, not a curated record.
AACAGUGUAAAUGAGGUGGGGAUUAUUGUCCUGUGUAUGAAUCAGUGUAAAUGAGGUGAGGGUUAUUGUCCUGUGUAUGAAACAGUGUAAAUGAGGUGGGGGGGUGUUGUCCUGUGUAUGAAUCAGUGUAAAUGAGGUGGGGGUUGUUGUCCUGUGUAUGAAACAGUGUAAAUGAGGUGGGGGUUAUUGUCCUGUGUAUGAAUCAGUGUAAAUGAGGUGGGGGUUGUAGUCCUGUGUAUGAAUCAGUGUAAAUGAGGUGGGGGUUGUUGUCCUGUGUAUGAAUCAGUGUAAAUGAGGUGGGGUUGUUGUCCUGUGUAUGAAUCAGUGUAAAUGAGGUGGGGGUUGUAGUCCUGUGUAUGAAUCAGUGUAAAUGAGGUGGGGGUUGUAGUCCUGUGUAUGAAUCAGUGUAAAUGAGGUGGGGGUUGUAGUCCUGUGUAUGAAUCAGUGUAAAUGAGGUGGGGGUUGUUGUCCUGUGUAUGAAUCAGUGUAAAUGAGGUGGGGGUUAUUGUCCUGUGUAUGAAUCAGUGUAAAUGAGGUGGGGGUUGUAGUCCUGUGUAUGAAUCAGUGUAAAUGAGGUGGGGGUUGUAGUCCUGUGUAUGAAUCAGUGUAAAUGAGGUGGGGGUUGUUGUCCUGUGUAUGAAUCAGUGUAAAUGAGGUGGGGGUUAUUGUCCUGUGUAUGAAUCAGUGUAAAUGAGGUGGGGGUUAUUGUCCUGUGUAAAUGAGGUGGGGGUUGUUGUCCUGUGUAUGAAUCAGUGUAAAUGAGGUGGGGGUUGUUGUCCUGUGUAAAUGAGGUGGGGGUUGUUGUCCUGUGUAUGAAACAGUAUAAAUGAGGUGGGGGUUGUUGUCCUGUGUAUGAAACAGUGUAAAUGAGGUGGGGGUGUUGUCCUGUGUAUUCAACAGUGUGCUGUAAACU